GCGGAUGUGGCGGAACUGGCAGACGCGAUGGACUUAGGAUCCAUUGGGCAACCGUGCAGGUUCGAUUCCUGUCAUCCGCACCA
This 83-nucleotide transfer RNA is filed under the name Clostridiales bacterium. Its description in RNAcentral is "tRNA-Leu". It matches the Rfam family "tRNA". Rfam says of the family: Transfer RNA (tRNA) molecules are approximately 80 nucleotides in length. The record is from RNAcentral. Lineage: Bacteria; Bacillati; Bacillota; Clostridia; Eubacteriales.